CCUCCCCUUAGACGUCCACACGUCUCUUCACUUGGGACAUCCCACAUUGUUCCAUGCCCAAGGCUGAUUAGCCUCUUUUGUUCGUUGGUUUCCACCUACUGGUAGCAGCACAAAUAAAGAGAGAAGGUUAAAGAAGAGGAGAAGAAGAAGAUUAAGGAAAGAGAUCAAGUGUUGAUCGUGAUCCAAGCUUCGUUCAGAUUCAGUAGGC
Molecule: long non-coding RNA, 208 nt
Filed under: Elaeis guineensis (African oil palm)
Lineage: Eukaryota; Viridiplantae; Streptophyta; Magnoliopsida; Arecales; Arecaceae
Description: long non-coding RNA (EGUI_LNC014175)
Source: RNAcentral